Molecule: ribosomal RNA, 142 nt
Filed under: uncultured bacterium
Lineage: Bacteria
Description: partial 16S ribosomal RNA
Rfam family: Bacterial small subunit ribosomal RNA
Source: RNAcentral
UGGGGAAUAUUGCACAAUGGGCGCAAGCCUGAUGCAGCAACGCCGCGUGAGGGACGACGGCCUUCGGGUUGUAAACCUCUUUUAGUAGGGAAGAAGCGAAAGUGACGGUACCUGCAGAAAAAGCACCGGCUAACUACGUGCC